Molecule: ribosomal RNA, 499 nt
Filed under: uncultured bacterium
Lineage: Bacteria
Description: bacterial SSU rRNA
Rfam family: Bacterial small subunit ribosomal RNA
Source: RNAcentral
AGGACGAACGCUGGCGGCGUGCUUAACACAUGCAAGUCGAACGGGGAUAUGCGAGCGGAAGGCUUCGGCCGGAAGGUUGCAUAUUCGAGUGGCGGACGGGUGAGUAACGCGUGAACAAUCUGUCCCAGACAGGGGGAUAACACUUGGAAACAGGUGCUAAUACCGCAUAAGACCACGGAGUCGCAUGGCACUGGGGUAAAAGGAGCAAUCCGGUUUGGGGUGAGUUCGCGUCCGAUUAGCCAGUUGGUGAGGUAACGGCCCACCAAAGCGACGAUCGGUAGCCGACCUGAGAGGGUGAUCGGCCACAUUGGAACUGAGAGACGGUCCAAACUCCUACGGGAGGCAGCAGUGGGGAAUAUUGGGCAAUGGGCCGAAAGCCUGACCCAGCAACGCCGCGUGAGUGAAGAAGGCCUUCGGGUUGUAAAGCUCUGUUAUAGGGGACGAAGGAAGUGACGGUACCCUAUAAGGAAGCCCCGGCUAACUACGUGCCAGCCGCGGC